This 75-nucleotide transfer RNA is filed under the name Chloroflexota bacterium. RNAcentral's name for it is "tRNA-Met". It matches the Rfam family "tRNA". Rfam says of the family: Transfer RNA (tRNA) molecules are approximately 80 nucleotides in length. Their secondary structure includes four short double-helical elements and three loops (D, anti-codon, and T loops). Lineage: Bacteria; Bacillati; Chloroflexota. The record is from RNAcentral. RNAcentral also lists the same sequence under 2 other names.
GCCGACGUAGCUCAGCGGCAGAGCAAAGGACUCAUAAGCCUUCGGUCGGUGGUUCGAUUCCACCCGUCGGCACCA